UACGGGGGGAGCAAGCGUUGUUCGGAUUUACUGGGCGUAAAGGGCGCGUAGGCGGCCACGACAAGUCAGUUGUGAAAUCUCUGGGCUUAACUCAGAACGGUCAACUGAUACUGUCGGGCUAGAGUGCAGAAGGGGCAACUGGAAUUCUCGGUGUAGCGGUGAAAUGCGUAGAGAUCGGGAGGAACAUCUGUGGCGAAGGCGACUGCCUGGACCAGCACUGACACUGAGGCACGAAAGCGUGGGGAGCAAACAGG
Molecule: ribosomal RNA, 254 nt
Filed under: uncultured bacterium
Lineage: Bacteria
Description: partial 16S ribosomal RNA
Rfam family: Bacterial small subunit ribosomal RNA
Source: RNAcentral